Callithrix jacchus (white-tufted-ear marmoset) is the source of this 3637-nucleotide non-coding RNA. The record is from RefSeq and is a predicted model, not a curated record. NCBI's taxonomy places the organism in Eukaryota, Metazoa, Chordata, Mammalia, Primates, Cebidae.
UUUAUUUUUAGUAGAGACAGGGUUUCACCAUGUUGGUCUUGAACUCCUUGACCUCAAAUGAUCUGCCCACCUCAGCCUCCCAAAGUGCUGGGAUUACAGGUGUGAGCAAUCGUGCCGGUCUCGAACUCCUUGACCUCAAAUGAUCUGCCCACCUCAGCCUCCCAAAGUGCUGGGAUUACAGGUGUGAGCAAUCGUGCCGGGCCAAGACUCUUCUACUGACAAGAGGCUCUGUUCCAAAUAAAAGUUAUCCAGAAGGGAACUGUCUCCAGGACUCUGGAAGAGGCUGAGGAAGGGACUCUUGACGAAGGGUGUCUGCUGCUGGUCUCUUCCAGCAGUGGAGGUUUGGGAGGCCUGGCUCCUAGGUUUCUUUGUUGGUUUCUUUUGUUAUCUCAUUAUCUCAUCCCACAGAAGAUUUGAAGGUGAAGUCUGGUCAUCUCUAUUCUCCCUCCUCAGACCCAAUCCCUGAACUUUAAUAAUUCCUGAAAAAUACACAUGUAGUUUGGGCUUGGAAAUGAAUAAAAACGUUUCAUCAAAAAACAAACAAACAAAAAACCAUACACGGGCCAGGCAUGGUGGCUUAAACCUGUAAUCUCAACACUUUGAAAGAUGAGUUGAACCCAGGAGUUCAAAAUCAGCCUGGGCAACAUAGGGAAACCCCAUCUCUACACACACAAAAUUAGCCAGGUGUGUGUGCUUAUGGUCCCAGUUAAUCAGGAGGCUAAAGUGGGAGGAUCGCUUUCGUCCAAGAAGUCGAGGCUGCAGUGAGCCGUGAUGGUGCCACUGCACUCCAGCCUGGGUGACAUAGCAAGGCCCUGUCUCAACCCCACCUUCCCCCACUACAGAAUCCAUGAGCAGAACUUCCUAACCUCUAGCCCUAUUCAUUGUCCUUAGCCUUGUAAAAGUUAGUCUUGUCUUUCAGUAUCUCUGAGGUCCGUAAAGCAUCCUUAAUCCAAGGGUCUCACCUUACAUCAGAUAAGCCUCCAAACUCAGAGCGGUUAUUAAACAUUCCCAUCUCCAGGAAUAUAAAUGUAUACUGAGAACUAGAGAAAAUUGAUCAUGCGAAAUAUUCUCUAAAAGUUAAUAUAAAAGGCCAGGUGCGGUGGCUCACGCCUAUAAUCCCAGCACUUUGGGAGGCCAAGGCAGGCGGAUCAUCUGAGGUUGGGAGUUAGAGUCCAGCCUGACCAACAGGAGAAAUCCCAUCCCUACUAAAAAAAAAAUACAAAAUUAGGCAGGCAUGAUGGCACAUGCCUGUAAUCCCAGCUACUUGGGAGGCUGAGGCAGGAGAAUUGCUUGAACCUGGGAGGUGGAGGUUGCCGUGAGCCAAGAUCAUGCCAUUGCACUCCAACCUGGGCAAUGAGAACAAAACUCCAUCUCAAAAAAAAAAUUAAUAUAAAAAUAAUUAAUAAUGUACAAUAAGUAAGAUAUAGACUACAGUAUUUUUCACUAGUGUAAAAUGGGAAUAAUAAUAGUACAGGGAAGAUUAAAUGAGUUCAUAUGUGUAAAAUGCUUAAAACAGUGCCUGGUACACAGUAAGCACUCAAUAAAUGUUCUAUUAUUGUUAUUAAUAGUAUUAGUACUACAGCACAUGUGUAACGGAAUUACUAUUGAACAAAAGAUGACACACUCUAAUUUGCAAAAGAGAUUUAUCAGAAUACUGUACCCGUUCCAAUUUCUGGCUUAGACUGUCUUCAAACCGUAAAGCCUCUGAAACAUUUAACAUGACAACAAGCAAAACAGCCAAAAUCAGUUCAGGAGGCCUUGUGGAACUAAACUUGACAAACCAAAGCAUUCCUUGCUAAUUGGAUUUCUUUGUCAUUCACCACUGAAAGAAAAACCUGAAAUCAGCAGAAAUGUAUCACUGAGGCAGAUUGCCCAAUUAUUUUCCUAACCAAGGGCAGAUAAACAUUGUGUCACUGCCCCGGUGCAGUGGAUGGAACCAGAAAGCCAGUGGCUGAGGAAGCAGGAGGAGCCAAAGUGGUGGAGGCAGCCUGCCUGCGGGUCCCAUUCCUGACUUUAAGAAAUGUUCUACUUGACAAGAGAUGACAGUGCCUUUAGGGAGGAGAAGGGACAUCUUUCCAAAGCAGCAAAUUCUUAUUGUGGAUGAAGUCAGUUCUUCAUUGGUCACAAGGACAACCCCAGAGAGUCACCCAUAGAGAAACCCUGUGCUUGGGGUUUGUCAAGGAAACGAGGAGACACGGUCUUAUUCUGUCACCCAGGCUGAAGUGCAAUGGUUUGAUCCUAGCUCACCGCAGCCUGAAACUUCUGGGCUCAAGUGAUCCUCCCAGCUCAGCCUCUCAAGUCUGGGAUUACAGGCAUGAGUCACUGUACCCAGGCUAAAAUUUCUAACAGAAGAAUUUAACAACACCAAAAGCUGCCAAAAUAGUAAUGGUAACAUAGAACAUGAAUAUUAAAGCAUGACUCACAUGUGUAUUGUACCUAUCACUUAUUUAAAGUACAUAUAGCAUCAAAUACUUCAAAAGAAAAUAGAUACCCUAGAAUUAAGACAGUAGAAACCCAUAUGGCUGGGCCAGACACUGUGGCACACACCUAUAAUCCCAAUGCUCUGGGAGGCCAAGUGGAUGGAUUAUUUGAGCUCAAGAGUUCAAGACAAGCCUGGCCAACAUGGCGAAACCCUGUCACUACUAAAAAUAAAAGGUAAAAAAAAAAAAAGAAAGAAAAAGAAAAAGGAAAGAAAUAAACCCACAUGGUUGGAGUAGUGAAAUAUUUGUCUUGAGCCUCCUGUUAUCUCAGCAUGAUGAUACACAUCGGAGAACAUCACUUCCCAAACAAAAGCUUAACUAAGACCUAUCCAAUAAUAAUUCCAUUUUAUAAAAAUAGAACUAUGGGUGUAUACAAGUUUCAGAUUGGUCAGAACUUUUGCCUAAACUGCUUUUGUUAUAUGCAGAUAAGUAUCAUACAUCAGGAAUAAAGGCAAAAUUAGAACUGCAGUGUGACAAUCAAAAAUAUAAUGGUAAUGUCAACACUAAACAUGUGAAAUCAUCUCUCUUGCCUUAAAUUUAUACCUAGUAAUAAAAAAUGUAUAUUUAUCUUAUAUCAAAUAUGUGCAAUUCAUGAUCUGGAAGCUCGAGUGGUAAUUUUCACAUGAUGAUUGACGUAGCCAUACCAUAGGGUCACAAGUUAACAACGAAUUUUCCUUUACAAAAGAUGAGGCCCAAAUUCAGUGAUUCAUUAACUCCAAUAAAAAUCCAGACUCCAGUUUCUAAUUUAUUUUUAUAUUUAGCACAUCCUACAGAUACUCUCAUAACAUAUGUUCUACCGGUAGGAAAAUUGAGACGGAGGUAGGAUAAAGGACUGGCUCCAACUGACAUAACUUAUAAUGGCAGCAAGGAUGGGGAAUCAAAUGAAAAAUGCAACCUAGCCUCUGAGGCCCCCAGACUCAGUUUAUAAUGGCCCAACUCCUGAGAGAAAACUCCUCAGCAUCAAAUAAAGAAAAAUAUUUGAAAUGUUUUAAAAUUCACGUGAGUAGAAAGGAAGCAAAGCACACUGCCAUGUGUGUACCUACGCAACUGUCUUGCAUGUUCUGCUCAUGUACCCCAAAACCUAAAAUGCAAUAAAAAAUUUUAAAAAUAAAUAAAUAAAAAAUAAAAUUCAUGUGAGCUAUUAGAAAUCAAAUGAU